CUUUACUGUAGCUUGGGAUUGACUUUGGGUUUAUUUUGCGCAGCAUAGGUGGGAGGCUAAGAUACUAUAUUUGAGGAUAUAAGGGAGCCAACAGUGAGAUACCACUCUAAUUAAACUAGAAUUCUAAUCUUGAUGCCGUUAACCGGCCAAGAGACAUUUCCAGGUGGGCAGUUUGACUGGGGCGGUCGCCUCCUAAAAAGUAACGGAGGCGUGCAAAGGUUUUCUCAGGCUGGUUGGAAAUCAGUCGUAGAGUGUAAAGGCAUAAGAAAGCUUGACUGCGAGACCUACAAGUCGAGCAGAGACGAAAGUCGGCCUUAGUGAUCCGACAGUUCUGAGUGGAAAGGCUGUCGCUCAACGGAUAAAAGUUA
This 368-nucleotide ribosomal RNA is filed under the name Chondria sp. ARS-2011. Its description in RNAcentral is "bacterial LSU rRNA". It matches the Rfam family "Bacterial large subunit ribosomal RNA", at positions 2099 to 2465 of the family's 2925-position model. The record is from RNAcentral. Lineage: Eukaryota; Rhodophyta; Florideophyceae; Ceramiales; Rhodomelaceae.